AUCACACUUAAGUCCAGUUAACGAUUUAUUGAAAUAUUUGCUAAUAACCCCUUGUUAGUUAUAAACAAACAGUUUAGUCUGUUAUGCUAUAACCUUAGAGUUAUUUCUAUUUCAAUUAGGUCCUGAACUUAGUGUUAUGGUAAAACUUCUAUUUUUACCCUAGAUUUCACAUAUUCUUAUACGCUCAACGGUUCUGGAUCGACGCUCUGCGCGAUUUCAGAAUUUGAUUCUUCUUCUUCUGGCACGGCUGCAGCUCUGAUGUGCUCUACAUCCUCCCUUAAUGUGCUGAAGUUUACCGGAGUCGCAUCAUCGUCGCCCCCUUCAGAUUCAACAUUGUCCUCAAUGUUGAUGGACGGGUAUAUCUUCUUCACUUCUUCCUCGAAUUCCCAUGAAGAGUCUUCUGGAAUAGAACCAUUCCACAAUAUAAGUAUCUGAUUUCGUUUUCUCCCAUUCUGCCAAAUCUUUCUUCUGCCCAAUAUAGAUGUGGGAAAAAUAAUAGGUUUGUUUUCCACAGAUAUAAUUGGUUGCUGAUGGUUGAUGUCCUCUGAUAUCUUGCCACAGAAUUUCUUUAAUUUUGAAACAUGGAACGUAGGAUGUAUCUUGCUGCCCUGGGGUAAGUUAAGCUGGUAAGCUACUUCAUUUACCUUCUUAGAUAUUUCAUAUGGCCCAAAAUAUUUUUUGCAGAAUUUAUUGUGCAUUCUAUUAGCGAUAGAUUCCUGUCUAUAAGGUUUUAAUUCAACCAGUACCCACUCUCCUUCUUCAUAGCUUAUUUCUGACCUCUUUUUAUCUGCUUGAUUCUUCAUUCUUGUCUGGGCUAGCUUCAAAUUUUUCUUGAUGGAUUCGAGAAUAUCUUCCCUUAUUUGUAGUUCACUGUCUACUGCCUGGAUAGUUGAUUCCCCUUCUUUGUAGUGUGGAAUUUCUGAUGCUUCUUUCCCAUAUAGAACCUUAAAUGGUGUUGAUCCGAGUGAUGAAUGGAAACUUGAAUUAUACCAUAAUUCAGCCCAUGGCAGUAAUUUCAGCCAUUUUUUUGGAUUCUCAUGACAAUAGGAUCUAAGGUACAUUUCCAGAGUUCUGUUUACCACUUCAGAUUGGCCAUCUGAUUGUGGAUGAUAAGCUGAAGAAAAAUUCAGUUUGGUACCACUUAGAUUGUUCAGCUCCUUCCAAAACUUGGAUGUAAAGACUCUGUCUCUGUCGGAAACUAUUGAACUAGGGAUUCCAUGUAAUUUAACUAUAUCUUGAAUGAAUAUUUCAGCUACCUUGGAUGCAUUAAAAUUAUUUGGAAGGGCACUAAAAUGUGCAUAUUUCGAUAAUCUGUCUACAACCACCAUCACAACAGAUUUUCCUCUCACUCUAGGGAGAUCAGUGAUGAAGUCCAUACUGAUGUCUUGCCAUACAUUAGAGGGAAUUGGCAAGGGCAUUAAUAAACCAGCAACUUUGGUAUUUGUGGGUUUAAUCUGUUGGCAAACCACACAUUCCUUUACAUAUUUUUUUAUAUGACUCCCCAUAUCUGGCCAAAAAAAAUGUUUUGCGAUCCUUUUCCAUGUUCUGUGAAUUCCAGAAUGACCUCCCAGUUGAGAGUCAUGAAAUUCAUAUAAUAUCUUCUUAAUUAUUUGAGAAUUAGUAUUAAGGUAAUAUCUACCUUUGAAGAAUAAAAUACCAUUUCUGACCAUGAACCCACUUGAACCUUCUCUAUUGCCACUGUGUUUUUUGAUAAGCUCUUGGGUUUCUGAUUUUUUGUUGUUUUCCUCUUUAAUUUCUUCCAACAAUGAAUAGAUAGGCUUGGAAAUUGCUAGCAAUGAUCCUGGUGUUCCCACAGAAUUAGAGGAAAACAGAAUUUCUUCUUCUUCUUCAAACCUCCUAGAAAGAGCAUCCGCCACAAUGUUCUCUUUUCCUGGUUUAUAAAUAAUUGUAAAAUCAAAGCAUAGUAACUUACAGAGAAAUACUUGUUGUUCAGGUGUUUGAAUAAUCUGUGUAAGUAGAUUCUUUAAGCUUUUAUGGUCAGUCUUGAUCACAAAAUGAGAGCCCAAUAAAUAAUGUCUCCACUUACUCACUGCUUGAGUAAUGGCAUACAUUUCUUUUACAUAUAUUGAUGCUGCCAUGAUUCUUCCAGAUAGUUUGCAACUGAAGAAGCUUAUAGGGUGUGAUUUCUGGCUAAGGACAGCUCCCACACCAUUUCUACAUGCAUCUGUCUCUACAGUAAAUUCUAAGUUGAAAUCUGGAAAUUCUAGAACAGGGGCACUCACCAUGGCUGAUUUCAGUUUUUCGAAGAUGAGAGUUGCCUCAUCCCCCCAUUUGAAGCUAUCCUUUUUUAAAAGGUCUGUCAUAGGGGCUGCUAUUGAUGCAUAACCUUUGAUAAAUCUUCUGUAGUACCCUGUGAGCCCUAAAAAUCCUCUAAGCAUUUUCAAGGUUUUAGGUUUUGGCCACUCCACCAUGGCUUUAAUUUUUUCUGGAUCUGGAUGCACCCCAUCUACUGCAAUUAUGUGGCCUAGAAAAGUCAUAGAGUCUUUACCAAAAGAGCAUUUGGAUAAUUUAGCAAUAAGCUUGUUUUCUCUGAGUAGUUUGAAUACAACUCUAAUAUGUUCAAUGUGGUCUUUGAUAGAAGCACUAUAGAUUAAUAUGUCGUCAAAGAAUACUAUGACAAAUUUCCUCAAAUACUCAGAAAAGACUGAAUUCAUAACUGAUUGAAAAGUGGCAGGGGCAUUUGUCAACCCAAAAGGCAUCACAAGGAAUUCAAAGUGUCCUUGAUGUGUUCUGAAUGCUGUUCUUUCUGUAUGAUUUGGGUCCACUCUGAUCUGAUGAAAUCCAGAUCUCAGAUCUAAUUUAGAAUAAAUGGCUGACCCUUUUAAUUCUCCCAAUAACUCAUCAACAGUAGGAAUUGGGUAUUUGUCUUUGAUUGUUAGAGCAUUUAAGGCUCUAUAAUCAACACAUAACCUAUAUCCUCCAUCUUUCUUCUUUACUAAUAAAACUGGGGAUGAGUAAGGGCUUGAACUAGGUUUUAUGAUCCCUUGUUUUAACAUUUCAGAAAUUAGCCUCUCAAUUUCAGAUUUCUGAAAUUGUGGAUAUCUGUAAGGCCUCACAUUAAUGGGCUGAGCUGUUGGUUCUAAGUGAAUUGAGUGAUCUUUCUGUCUUUCAGGUGGCAACCCACUUGGUUCUUCAAACAGAUCACUGAAUUCUCUCACCACUGAGUUAAUUUCUGGAAUUUUGUUGUUCAAUGUUGCUGGUGAGUCAUUGCUCUCAACUCUGUCCAUGUAGCAUAAAUAAGCCUCUUCAGUGGAUGCUAUUAGGCAUUUAAGUUGGCCUACAGUAAGAGGAUCUUCAGAAACCCAAGGUACUCCCGUCCAUGUAAUUUUUUUUCCAGAUAGGGUGAAUUCCAUGAUUGAUUUUUCAAAAUCAAAUGUGACCGGCCCAAAUGAUUUUAAAGCCUGUACUCCUACCACCAUGUUAGAACCUGCCAUGUGAAUUAAGAAGAUAUCCAUUAUUAUUGUGAUAUCUUGGAUUUUGACUUCUACUCCUUUGCACAUUUUGUUGCAAACUAAUUUUUCUCCACUUCCAGUUGAAACAUGGAAUGGUACUAUCAUUUGUAUAGUUAAUUUCAGAGCUACCGCAACAUCAACUUGCAUAAAGUUGUGGCUAGAUCCCGAGUCAAUUAGCACACUCACAGAUUGACAUUUGAUGAAGCCCAUCACUCUGAUAGUGCUUGAACUGAUGUUGCCUUCAAAAGCAUGUAGCGAAAUUUCUGUUCUGCCUCUGAGUACAGUAUCCACUACCAUUUCUUCAUCAUCGAUGUUUUCUGUUUCCUCUUGGUCUUCUAUUUCCACUAAUUCUACUUCGUCAGCAGAUAAUCUGAACAACUUUCCUUUUCUUCCAACACAAACAUUAUUAUGAUUAGCACUGAAUUUCUCAUCACAAUUGAAGCAGAGCCCUUUGCUUCUUCUCUCAGCUCUUUCUGCAACUGAUAGUCUUUUGGCUGUUGGUAGGAUUUCAGUUGUGAUGCUUGACUGCCCUGCUGGGUUUGUAUCAUUACCCUUAUUGUGUUGUGGGACAGAAUUUGAUGUUAAUUUAUUCUGUUUGGGUAUGUAAGAUUUGUAUGUGGAUUUACCUCCUUUUCUUGCUUCUAUCAUCAAUGACAUUUCGAAUGCUUCAUGUAUAUCAUUAGGUUUCCCUAAGAUAACAUCAGACUGAAUAUCUUCUUUUAAUCCUGAAAUAUACAUUUCUAAGAUAAAAUAUUCAGGUAGCCCAAGAACUCUAGUACACAUUUCUUCAAAUUGGCAUUGAUAAUCAGCCACUGAACCUUCUUGAAUUAAUUUGCUCAGCUUGCCUCCGGGUAGUUGAUAGUGUAAAGAUGUAAAUUUUCUUAUUACUGCUCUCACGAAAUUAGGCCAGUUAGAUAGCAUGUUGCUUGCUUCAAGCCAUGCGAACCAUUUUCUCGCCAACCCAUCAACAUGAAAUGAUACUAUUAGGAGCUUUUGAUCUUCGGGAACUUUAUUAAAUAUAAAAUAUCUUCUUACAGCAUAUAACCAGUGUUCUGCAUCUUUGCCAUCGAAUCUAGGCAUAUUUACUUUGAUAUGUUUUGCUGGGGUAUAAUUAGGAUCAUCCAUCACAGCAACUGCAUAGCUAGGCUUGUCUAAAUUUGCUACUGAUUGGUAGUAGCCUUGGGAUUGCUCUACUAUCUCUGUAUUGUCUGGUGUUUUUUUUGGUAUAUUCCCCAUAGUUACUUCAGAUACUUUUGUGCAUAAUUCUGACACUUGUUUGCUCAAUUCUAAAAAGUUGUUAUUUACUGAUGUUCUGAGUUCUCCCAUGUCUUUGAUCUGACUCAUCUGCAGGGAUUGCAAUCGGAUGAAGUCUGGAUGGGAAGCUAGAUCUAUUUGAUUUGUCAUCUGAAAAUAAGAGUUCAAAGUUUAUGAAAGCACCAAUGAUACCGAUUUGAUCGGAUCAGACCAAAUGAAUUGAAUUCACCUGAUGUUUAUGGGUGCUUCAGAUCCGUGAUUUGAGAAUCACGG
This 5000-nucleotide long non-coding RNA is filed under the name Zostera marina. Its description in RNAcentral is "long non-coding RNA (ZMAR_LNC000367)". The record is from RNAcentral. Lineage: Eukaryota; Viridiplantae; Streptophyta; Magnoliopsida; Alismatales; Zosteraceae.